GACGAACGCUGGCGGCGUGCUUAACACAUGCAAGUUGGGCGAGGAUGGUUUGACGAGACUUAGGUUGAAUUGGAUCAUUCGAGCAGCGGACGGGUGAGUAAAGCACAAGGACGUGUCCGAAAGAGGGGGACACCUGCGGGAAACCGGAGCUAAUACCCCAUAAGCCGUAAGGUGAAAGGCAGAGAUGCGCUUUAGGAGCGACUUGUGUCCUAUCAGGCAGUUGGUGAGGUGAAAGCUCACCAAACCGAAGACGGGUAGCCGGACUGAGAGGUCGACCGGCCACAUUGGAACUGAGAGACGGUCCAGACUCCUACGGGAGGCAGCAGUGGGGAAUAUUGGGCAAUGGGCGCAAGCCUGACCCAGCGACGCCGCGUGAGGGAAGACAGCCUUCGGGUUGUAAACCUCUGUUGCAGGGGAAGAAGGAAGUGACGGUACCCUGCGAGGAAGCUCCGGCUAACUACGUG
Molecule: ribosomal RNA, 464 nt
Filed under: uncultured bacterium
Lineage: Bacteria
Description: bacterial SSU rRNA
Rfam family: Bacterial small subunit ribosomal RNA
Source: RNAcentral